RNAcentral lists this ribosomal RNA (459 nucleotides) under uncultured Marinobacterium sp. RNAcentral's name for it is "bacterial SSU rRNA". It matches the Rfam family "Bacterial small subunit ribosomal RNA", at positions 386 to 837 of the family's 1533-position model. Lineage: Bacteria; Pseudomonadati; Pseudomonadota; Gammaproteobacteria; Oceanospirillales; Oceanospirillaceae. The record is from RNAcentral.
AUCCAGCCAUGCCGCGUGUGUGAAGAAGGCCUUCGGGUUGUAAAGCACUUUCAGCUGUGAGGAAAGGCGAGUGGUUAAUACCCGCUUGCUGUGACGUUAACAGCAGAAGAAGGACCGGCUAACUCCGUGCCAGCAGCCGCGGUAAUACGGAGGGUCCGAGCGUUAAUCGGAAUUACUGGGCGUAAAGCGCGCGUAGGUGGUUCAGUCAGUCAGAUGUGAAAGCCCCGGGCUCAACCUGGGAACUGCACCUGAUACUGCUGAGCUAGAGUACGGUAGAGGGUAGUGGAAUUUCCGGUGUAGCGGUGAAAUGCGUAGAGAUCGGAAGGAACACCAGUGGCGAAGGCGACUACCUGGACCGAUACUGACACUGAGGUGCGAAAGCGUGGGUAGCAAACAGGAUUAGAUACCCUGGUAGUCCACGCCGUAAACGAUGUCAACUAGCCGUUGGGGGACUUGAUC